ACCUGAGUUCUUCACUGCUUCUCUGUCUGGCCACUCUGAUGGAAGGGGUAAUGCCUGCAGACAUGAAGUGAGAACAGAUUGCUGAUGAGCUGCCUUGUGCUCUUUAGAUUUUAGUUUUCUGUGGAUUUUACUUGCCUGGACUGCCUACAGUUGUUUGUGCGCAGACAGGGUGGUUAUGUGCAAAUUCCCGUUAGACUUCUACCAGAAAACCCUUUAGGAGGACAGAGAAGAUGUUCCUCAGGUUUACUGGUCUGAAAACAAAUGGUUUGUGUGUGAGUCUGUGGCACAGUGGCUGUCCAUGGAUCACCCACUCCCUGCUGCCUUGGGGCACGGUCUGACAAAUCGUGUGUUCUUACUGUGCCACCACGUUAAACCCUCGCGUUGUUCCUUGGGCUGCAGUCUGGAGACAGAAGUCAGAAGACAUUUCAUUGGUUGAAUAUAUGUGGAAUGAAAACUAUUGCCAUUUGAGAGCAGCAUCUCACAGGGGGAAGGGAAGGAGGGAGGGCACAGGAGGAGUGUGUUGAUUGGGACUGACAUGCGCCUUAAUAUCUGAUGUGGCUUUCACACUUGGAAAUAUUCAGGACUCCAUAUGUUCCAAAAACCCCACUGAACAGUGCAUAUAACAUUGCCUUUAUCAUUCUUUAAUCUCAGUUUAAUUGCUGUGGUCAAAUUACCCCACACUUAAUAACCCACAGCUUGGUAUAUUAUUUAAUAUGGUUGACACAUACUUUGUUUUAAAUGUCAGUGCUGGUAAAGCCCUGGAGUUGGCAAUGCUGUGCAUGAUAGAUGGCAGAGGAGACGGAUCAUCUGUUCUUUGUCUGAGCUGUUGGUCUGAGGUAGAGAAAGGUUCUCUGGAAUGGUCUCAGGCCACUGUACAGCAACAGUUCUGAGUGGCCACAUAGUGCUGCAUUUGAACCCCUGACCCAGGAACAAAAUGAAUUACGUGUAGACUGAAGUAUGGAGAUGGGACAAUUCUGGUUUCUCACGUUUCAAAGGAAUAAAGCAGUGACUGUAGACAGUGAUUGCUUGGAGCUAGCUCUUCUCUUCCCAGCUUGCCUAUGGAUUCUCCUGAGCAGCCAUCUUUCAGAUGCAUGGCACAUUCUGGAAACCAGCUCAAGUGUAAAAUUUUGGGAAGAGCCUUUAUUGCUGACUUCAGACAGGAAAAUCACACCCUGGAAAAGGCCAAGAAUGCUAGCAGGUCUGUUCCCAGUAAAGGGCUGAUGGUACUUGCAUGGUGCAGAAACAUGUUGAAUUUUCUCUCUACUUCCUGAGAGAAUUAUUAGACUGGCUGGUUU
This 1295-nucleotide long non-coding RNA is filed under the name Cyanistes caeruleus (blue tit). Its description in RNAcentral is "lncRNA (ENSCCEG00000015260.1)". The record is from RNAcentral. Lineage: Eukaryota; Metazoa; Chordata; Aves; Passeriformes; Paridae.